GCGAAAUGAAAGUAAAUGACUCUUUAGAGUCUGAUGUGCGAUCUUGUAAAAAAGUGUAGCAUGGCCCCAUUCUAACUGUUUACAGUAGGGUGGCGGAAGAGCGUACGCGGUGAGACCCGAAAGAUGGUGAACUAUUCCUGAGCAGGACGAAGCCAGAGGAAACUCUGGUGGAAGUCCGAAGCGGUUCUGACGUGCAAAUCGAUCGUCUGAC
This 211-nucleotide ribosomal RNA is filed under the name Meloidogyne incognita (southern root-knot nematode). RNAcentral's name for it is "partial 28S ribosomal RNA". It matches the Rfam family "Eukaryotic large subunit ribosomal RNA", at positions 714 to 910 of the family's 3401-position model. The record is from RNAcentral. Lineage: Eukaryota; Metazoa; Nematoda; Chromadorea; Rhabditida; Meloidogynidae.